Molecule: ribosomal RNA, 2008 nt
Filed under: Campylobacter jejuni
Lineage: Bacteria; Pseudomonadati; Campylobacterota; Epsilonproteobacteria; Campylobacterales; Campylobacteraceae
Description: partial 23S ribosomal RNA
Rfam family: Bacterial large subunit ribosomal RNA
Source: RNAcentral
AGGUAAGCUACUAAGAGCGAAUGGUGGAUGCCUUGACUGGUAAAGGCGAUGAAGGACGUACUAGACUGCGAUAAGCUACGGGGAGCUGUCAAGAAGCUUUGAUCCGUAGAUUUCCGAAUGGGGCAACCCAAUGUAUAGAGAUAUACAUUACCUAUAUAGGAGCGAACGAGGGGAAUUGAAACAUCUUAGUACUCUCAGGAAAAGAAAUCAAUAGAGAUUGCGUCAGUAGCGGCGAGCGAAAGCGCAAGAGGGCAAACCCAGUGCUUGCACUGGGGGUUGUAGGACUGCAAUGUGCAAGAGGUAAGUUUAGCAGAACAUUCUGGAAAGUAUAACCAUAGAGGGUGAUAGUCCCGUAUGCGAAAAACAAACCUUAGCUAGCAGUAUCCUGAGUAGGGCGGGACACGAGGAAUCCUGUCUGAAUCCGGGUCGACCACGAUCCAACCCUAAAUACUAAUACCAGAUCGAUAGUGCACAAGUACCGUGAGGGAAAGGUGAAAAGAACUGAGGUGAUCAGAGUGAAAUAGAACCUGAAACCAUUUGCUUACAAUCAUUCAGAGCCCUAUGUAGCAAUACAGGGUGAUGGACUGCCUUUUGCAUAAUGAGCCUGCGAGUUGUGGUGUCUGGCAAGGUUAAGCAAACGCGAAGCCGUAGCGAAAGCGAGUCUGAAUAGGGCGCUUAGUCAGAUGCUGCAGACCCGAAACGAAGUGAUCUAUCCAUGAGCAAGUUGAAGCUAGUGUAAGAACUAGUGGAGGACUGAACCCAUAGGCGUUGAAAAGCCCCGGGAUGACUUGUGGAUAGGGGUGAAAGGCCAAUCAAACUUCGUGAUAGCUGGUUCUCUCCGAAAUAUAUUUAGGUAUAGCGUUGUGUCGUAAUAUAAGGGGGUAGAGCACUGAAUGGGCUAGGGCAUACACCAAUGUACCAAACCCUAUCAAACUCCGAAUACCUUAUAUGUAAUCACAGCAGUCAGGCGGCGAGUGAUAAAAUCCGUCGUCAAGAGGGAAACAACCCAGACUACCAGCUAAGGUCCCUAAAUCUUACUUAAGUGGAAAACGAUGUGAAGUUACUUAAACAACCAGGAGGUUGGCUUAGAAGCAGCCAUCCUUUAAAGAAAGCGUAAUAGCUCACUGGUCUAGUGAUUUUGCGCGGAAAAUAUAACGGGGCUAAAGUAAGUACCGAAGCUGUAGACUUAGUUUACUAAGUGGUAGGAGAGCGUUCUAUUUGCGUCGAAGGUAUACCGGUAAGGAGUGCUGGAGCGAAUAGAAGUGAGCAUGCAGGCAUGAGUAGCGAUAAUUAAUGUGAGAAUCAUUAACGCCGUAAACCCAAGGUUUCCUACGCGAUGCUCGUCAUCGUAGGGUUAGUCGGGUCCUAAGUCGAGUCCGAAAGGGGUAGACGAUGGCAAAUUGGUUAAUAUUCCAAUACCAACAUUAGUGUGCGAUGGAAGGACGCUUAGGGCUAAGGGGGCUAGCGGAUGGAAGUGCUAGUCUAAGGUCGUAGGAGGUUAUACAGGCAAAUCCGUAUAACAAUACUCCGAGAACUGAAAGGCUUUUUGAAGUCUUCGGAUGGAUAGAAGAACCCCUGAUGCCGUCGAGCCAAGAAAAGUUUCUAAGUUUAGCUAAUGUUGCCCGUACCGUAAACCGACACAGGUGGGUGGGAUGAGUAUUCUAAGGCGCGUGGAAGAACUCUCUUUAAGGAACUCUGCAAAAUAGCACCGUAUCUUCGGUAUAAGGUGUGGUUAGCUUUGUAUUAGGAUUUACUCCGAAAGCAAGGAAACUUACAACAAAGAGUCCCUCCCGACUGUUUACCAAAAACACAGCACUCUGCUAACUCGUAAGAGGAUGUAUAGGGUGUGACGCCUGCCCGGUGCUCGAAGGUUAAUUGAUGGGGUUAGCAUUAGCGAAGCUCUUGAUCGAAGCCCGAGUAAACGGCGGCCGUAACUAUAACGGUCCUAAGGUAGCGAAAUUCCUUGUCGGUUAAAUACCGACCUGCAUGAAUGGCGUAACGAGAUGGG